RNAcentral lists this ribosomal RNA (253 nucleotides) under uncultured bacterium. RNAcentral describes it as "partial 16S ribosomal RNA". It matches the Rfam family "Bacterial small subunit ribosomal RNA", at positions 524 to 776 of the family's 1533-position model. The record is from RNAcentral.
UACGUAGGGUGCGAGCGUUAAUCGGAAUUACUGGGCGUAAAGCGUGCGCAGGCGGUUUUGUAAGUCAGAUGUGAAAUCCCCGGGCUUAACCUGGGAACUGCGUUUGAAACUACAAGGCUAGAGUGUGGCAGAGGGGGGUGGAAUUCCACGUGUAGCAGUGAAAUGCGUAGAGAUGUGGAGGAACGCCGAUGGCGAAGGCAGCCCCCUGGGUUAACACUGACGCUCAGGCACGAAAGCGUGGGGAGCAAACAGG